This 22-nucleotide microRNA is filed under the name Sarcophilus harrisii (Tasmanian devil). RNAcentral describes it as "Sha-Mir-7319_3p (mature (guide))". Lineage: Eukaryota; Metazoa; Chordata; Mammalia; Dasyuromorphia; Dasyuridae. The record is from RNAcentral. RNAcentral also lists the same sequence under 2 other names.
AAAGUUGGACUAGAGAUGGUGU